ACUAACGUUCAAACCGGAUUGAAUGCACUCGUUCUCCUCCUAUCGCGAAAGUUAAGCAGUGUUGGGCGGAGAGUAAUUAUAAAUGGUUGACCAUUUAGAAACUCCGUGUGAUGUUGGGU
Molecule: ribosomal RNA, 119 nt
Filed under: Melipona quadrifasciata
Lineage: Eukaryota; Metazoa; Arthropoda; Insecta; Hymenoptera; Apidae
Source: RNAcentral